UUAAGUUCAGCGGGUAGUCCUACCUGAUUUGAGGUCAAAUUUAUCAACAUUUGUUUUGUUAGAAGCAGUGUAAUCUGUUCAUGUGGCAUACCAAAGGCAUAGAUAGUUAUCACACCCACAGUAGUAGCCUCAGAUACCACUAAUUCAUUUCAGGGGAGCUGACCUUCUACAAGAAAGCCUGCAAAAACAACCCCCACAUC
This 200-nucleotide unclassified non-coding RNA is filed under the name Inocybe sp. RNAcentral describes it as "partial internal transcribed spacer 2". Lineage: Eukaryota; Fungi; Basidiomycota; Agaricomycetes; Agaricales; Inocybaceae. The record is from RNAcentral.